Long non-coding RNA from Mauremys reevesii (Reeves's turtle), 369 nucleotides. RefSeq lists it as uncharacterized. The transcript is spliced from 2 exons. The record is from RefSeq and is a predicted model, not a curated record. Lineage: Eukaryota; Metazoa; Chordata; Testudines; Geoemydidae.
UCACCAAAAGCUCUCAAGCUUGGCUCUGUGAGAAGAGGAAAGCAAUAUAAACAGGAAGAUAACCUUGAAGGAAAUGGCCCAAAGCAAAGGAAGGAGAAGUUUGGGUUAAAAAGAAAAUAAAGGUUGCAGCACCAUCACUGGAGAUAUACCCAAGAUGAGGUUAGGUCUCAGAGGAACAGCACUACAAUGGACAAUAUGCAGCUGAGACUUAUAUCUGUCUAAGGGUUUUAUAUUGUCACCCUUCACUGUAGUAAUUGAAUAUCCUCCAUGUAAAAAUCAAUAGCAUCAGCAAAGUCCUUAGUGGACUUCAUGGAGUUGCAUAUGUAGCUGACAAUGUACACCUAAUAAAAGAGGUGCUGAUGGCCUGUC